This 889-nucleotide long non-coding RNA is filed under the name Homo sapiens (human). RNAcentral describes it as "HSALNT0265706". Lineage: Eukaryota; Metazoa; Chordata; Mammalia; Primates; Hominidae. The record is from RNAcentral.
CUCAAGGGUUAGAUGAUGAUAGAGCUGAUGUUCUUCUUAUUGACCAAGAUGCACCAACCAGUCUUGAAGAGGAUCUCGUUUUGUAAAGGAGCCAUGCAGAAGAAGAAUUCCCAGAGGGAGCCUAAUGUCUGUGAAAUGUCAUAUAUUGCUUACACAGAAACCAGUUACUCAAAGAGCUAUGCUGUUCUUAUGCCCUGUGAUGGAUCUACUGGGGAUAGAGAUAAGAGCCUGUCUGCCUGCCUCAGCCUGUGCACCUGAUCGUUCUUUUCCUGAAGCAACUUGUCAUGCCUUCACAGUGCACACCUGACCAGUUCCAAACCAAAAAGGGAUGUGCCUGGACGUGUGUGGAUAGAUGGCUGAGGGAGACAUUAUUGUUGUUGUUGAGCCUCCAUCAUCUCUCACCUGGACUGGUGCAGUCUUCUCCAAGACCCUAGGCUUCAGAAGCAGACGAGGGAACGAGCAGAAGAACAGAAGAACAGCAGAAUGGCAUGGCAGAGAGAAGAAAGGGACCAUCUGAACGCCAAGAGAAAUUCAGCUGGGGGAGGUCAGAGAGGAGAUAGACUGCAGGACAGCCAAGCUCCAGGGGAAGAUCAUCUUCCCACUCCAUCCCCUUUCCAGCUCCCCAUCCAUCCCGCUGAGAGCCACCUCCACCACUCAAUAAAACCCUGCAUUCACCAUCCUCAAGUCUGUGUGUGACCUGAUUCUUCCUGGAUGCCGGACAAGGACCUAGGUACCAUGAGGGCACUGAGCUGGUUAACACUUAAGCUAUCUGCAGGCAGCACAGCUAAAAGAAUGCAUGGUAACACAUGCCUACUUGGGCUUUGGGAGUUGCAGGCACCCACCCCUAGAAGCUACCAUGGGGCUGGAGCCCCAAGGUGCUUGCCCUGGC